UACAAGUGUCAAAAACAUAUUUUGUGAG
This 28-nucleotide non-coding RNA is filed under the name Mus musculus (house mouse). The record is from RNAcentral. Lineage: Eukaryota; Metazoa; Chordata; Mammalia; Rodentia; Muridae.